This is a long non-coding RNA of Oryzias melastigma (Indian medaka), 1657 nucleotides long. RefSeq lists it as uncharacterized. The transcript has 5 exons. Lineage: Eukaryota; Metazoa; Chordata; Actinopteri; Beloniformes; Adrianichthyidae. The record is from RefSeq and is a predicted model, not a curated record.
GAUCCCACUCCCGGUGUGGAGUGGAGACUGCCGGGCCCAGGAGACCUGCACCCAAGAGACUAGACCACCAGGCCAAUCUUUUAACAGAGAUGUAUUAAACCUACAUGUGGAACCAGGUGUUGCUGCUUCCCUGACAAUAUUUACAGAAACUGGUGCAUGAUCACUGAUAACAAUUGGAUAAAUGCUGGAGCUUUUAAUAUCUUUUAGAGGAGAUUUACUGAUUAAUAAAUAAUCUAAACGAGAGUGUGAGUAGUGAACUGGAAAGAAGAAGGUGAACCCUUUAGUGUUUGGAUGACAUGAGCGCCAAACUUUACCCUUUCAUUACAUUUUAUUUUAGUUACUAAUAACAAUAAAGACUAAACCCGACAAGCGACUGACAUUAGAGCAGUCAAGAAAAUGAUUUAACCUCUUAAGACCCUGCUUUCACAUGUGUUGACACCCCAUUUUGGGUUACAUUAUCACAAUAGGUUAUUCUGCUUAACCGGAGCCCUGUGACUAUGUGUAGAAGGUUAGCUCAAAUUUUAGGCCGGGUCUUAAGAGGUUAAUGAUAGAAGAGGCGGGAAGACAUGUGAGUGCAGGAAGUACUGAAGAGACAGCUUUUUUCCCACCUCUCCCCGCAUCUUGAUUUGCAGAAAAAAACACAAAGGUGGUUAUUUUGACUCACAGCAAGUAGACGUUACCAUUUCCUCCUUGUGGGUUUUGACUCCAAGACUUUUCUUCCCGAGAUACUUCAGUCCUCUCAUUCGCUUCAAGUGAUCAACUGAAAUAACAGAAAACAGUUUCUUCACUGCAUUUCCUGUUUUUUACUCCACUGGACUCCUCCAUCGUAAUUUCAGACUUCUCAGUCACUACUCCAGAGCAAAGGAUGGCCAAUGAUCUGUUUUCCAUCAUUUCAAGAGAAAUGAAGGAUAAGCCUGUAGUAUCAACUGUUCUUGUGGGAUUGUUUCUUGUUGUAUUUGAGAAGAUGCUGGACUUAGAAUUUGUGUGUCCUUGCUUUGAAAAAAAAUAUUGUAACGGAAUAUUUGUUUUUCUUUAUUUUUUUGUCCCAUCACUUGGAAUCUUUGUUUUAAUGUGUCAUGUGUAUGAAAAAAGUUGCUGUUCCUGUCACGGUUGCUCUUGGUACAUUUGCUCACACACUGUAGGUCCUCCUCUCACAUGGAUCAUCAUAUUGUUGCUUGAUGGACGAUAUCUAGCUUGUGCAUUCACCAACUGGUCAGGAAUGUAUGAAGUUACUGGUGGUGGAGUGAUGAGAUGGUGCCAAUCAGAAAACUACUCAUCUGAGAGGCUAAGCUUUACUCACACAUUAUACACAAUCUCUCAGUUCUGUGGACUCGGACUCUGCAUCCUCUUUGGAGGGAUUGUUUCCUGCCGUUGGAGAAAACAUUGCAUCUCAGGGAAUAAAGAAGGGAUGGCUCUCCAGAGGAGACAACCUACGUCAACGGAUCAAAUCCUUAUUCUGGAAGAAACUGAUACAUAGGAGACCAAUUUGGGAAUUAGUGUUGUAUCUACUCAAUAGCUUGUUAUCAUGUGGUCAAAAGGAGUGACAGAGUAGGUAUUUAGCCUCUUAAAGUUUCCCUCUGAUGAAAAUCAGGUUUUCUGAGUUUUUAACAUGUAUUUGUGACAUUUUUCUUAUAAAAGAGAAAAAAUUCAACAAGAA